CCUACGGGCGGCUGCAGUGAGGAAUAUUGGUCAAUGGACGGAAGUCUGAACCAGCCAUGCCGCGUGCAGGAAGACGGCUCUAUGAGUUGUAAACUGCUUUUGUACAAGGGUAAACCUGAAUACGUGUAUUCAGCUGAAAGUACUGUACGAAUAAGGAUCAGCUAACUCCGUGCCAGCAGCCGCGGUAAUACGGAGGAUCCAUGCGUUAUCCGGAUUUAUUGGGUUUAAAGGGUGCGUAGGCGGAUUGAUAAGUUAGAGGUGAAAUGUCCGAGCUUAACUCGGGAACUGCCUCUAAUACUGUUGAUCUAGAGAGUAGAUGCGGUAGGCGGAAUGUAUGGUGUAGCGGUGAAAUGCUUAGAGAUCAUACAGAACACCGAUUGCGAAGGCAGCUUACCAAUCUAUAUCUGACGUUGAGGCACGAAAGCGUGGGGAGUAAACAGGAUUAGAUACCCGGGUAGUC
This 460-nucleotide ribosomal RNA is filed under the name uncultured bacterium. RNAcentral describes it as "partial 16S ribosomal RNA". It matches the Rfam family "Bacterial small subunit ribosomal RNA", at positions 338 to 795 of the family's 1533-position model. The record is from RNAcentral.